This 246-nucleotide ribosomal RNA is filed under the name Triticum aestivum (bread wheat). RNAcentral describes it as "partial small subunit ribosomal RNA". The record is from RNAcentral. Lineage: Eukaryota; Viridiplantae; Streptophyta; Magnoliopsida; Poales; Poaceae.
GAUAAUCCUAGAAACGCUCUCAAUAUUAAGUUGUUGUUAUAUUUCUUUGAAGUCGUGUCUGGAUUAAAAAUCAAUUUUAUGAAAAGUGAAAUCUUUCCGAUUCGUGCUGAUGAUACUACUAUGCAAAACUAUGCUGAAAUGUUUAACUGCCAGAUAGGUAAUUUUCCUAUCAAAUACCUAGGCAUGCCUGUGAGUUACGCUGGCUUGAAAUGCAGUAACUGGAUCUUUGUUGAUGACAAGUUCAUU